Grammomys surdaster is the source of this 105-nucleotide small nuclear RNA. The record is from RefSeq and is a predicted model, not a curated record. NCBI's taxonomy places the organism in Eukaryota, Metazoa, Chordata, Mammalia, Rodentia, Muridae.
GUGCUUUCUUGGAAGCACAUAUACCAAAAUUGGGAUGAUACAGAGAAGAUUAUCAUGGCCCCUGUGAAGGAUGUCACUUGAAUUUGUGAAGCAUUCCAUAUGUUC